Molecule: ribosomal RNA, 403 nt
Filed under: Cardiodactylus sumba
Lineage: Eukaryota; Metazoa; Arthropoda; Insecta; Orthoptera; Gryllidae
Description: partial small subunit ribosomal RNA
Source: RNAcentral
UAUUAUAAUUAAUGUUAAAUUAUUGCUAGGGUAAUAAUAGAUGUUCUUGAAACCCAAAGGAUUUGGCGGUAUUUUAGUCCUUUCAGGGGAAUUUGUCUUUUAAUUGAUAAUACACAAUUUGUUUUACUUAAUUAAGUUAUCAAUUUGUAUAUCGCCGUCAUAAGAUUAUUUUUGUUUUGAGAAUUUAAUUUUCUUGUAAUUAUAUUAAAAAAUAUGUCAGGUCAAGGUGCAGUUUAUGAUUAAGGUAUAGAUGAGUUACAAUAAUUUUAAUUUAUUACGAAUAAUUAUUAUAAGUUUAAUUUGAAGGUGGAUUUGAUUGUAAAUUUAUUUUUAAUUUUUAUAUUGAUUAGGGCUCUAAAAUGUGUACAUAUCGCCCGUCGCUCUCAUACUUUAAUUAUAUGAG